Molecule: ribosomal RNA, 429 nt
Filed under: Bacteroidota bacterium
Lineage: Bacteria; Pseudomonadati; Bacteroidota
Description: Bacteroidetes bacterium partial 16S ribosomal RNA
Rfam family: Bacterial small subunit ribosomal RNA
Source: RNAcentral
UAGGGAAUCUUCCGCAAUGGACGCAAGUCUGACGGAGCAACGCCGCGUGAGUGAAGAAGGAUUUCGGUUCGUAAAACUCUGUUGUUAGAGAAGAACAGCGCAUAGAGUAACUGUUAUGCGUGUGACGGUAUCUAACCAGAAAGCCACGGCUAACUACGUGCCAGCAGCCGCGGUAAUACGUAGGUGGCAAGCGUUGUCCGGAUUGAUUGGGCGUAAAGCGAGCGCAGGCGGUCAAUUAAGUCUGAUGUGAAAGCCCCCGGCUCAACCGGGGAGGGUCCUUGGAAUCUGGUUGUCUUGAGUGCAGAAGAGGAGAGUGGAAUUCCAUGUGUAGCGGUGAAAUGCGUAGAUAUAUGGAGGAACACCAGUGGCGAAGGCGACUCUCUGGUCUGUAACUGACGCUGGGGUUCGAGAGCGUGGGUAGCAAACAGG